This 263-nucleotide ribosomal RNA is filed under the name uncultured bacterium. Its description in RNAcentral is "partial 16S ribosomal RNA". It matches the Rfam family "Bacterial small subunit ribosomal RNA", at positions 524 to 776 of the family's 1533-position model. The record is from RNAcentral.
AACGGAUGAGACUAGUGUUACUCACAUGGACUUGCGUAAAGGAUCUGUAGGCAGCAUUUAUAUUUUGUAAAAUCGUGUAAAUCGCUUUAAAUCAACUUAAAGGCAAUGCACUACUUACUAAUUAUAGCUAGAGUGAGAAUGAGGAUAGCCGUACUCUCGUGUAAGAAGUAAAAUGCAAACAUACUGAUGGGGACGAUCGUAGGUGCAGACAACUAUCUACAUCUCUACUGACGCUGAGGGAUUAAAGUAUAGGAGCAAACAGG